GCCAGCAUAGCUCAGUGGUAGAGCAACGGUUUCGUAAACCGUAGGUCCCGGGUUCAAGCCCCGGUGCUGGCUCCA
Molecule: transfer RNA, 75 nt
Filed under: Chthoniobacterales bacterium
Lineage: Bacteria; Pseudomonadati; Verrucomicrobiota; Spartobacteria; Chthoniobacterales
Description: tRNA-Thr
Rfam family: tRNA
About the family: Transfer RNA (tRNA) molecules are approximately 80 nucleotides in length. Their secondary structure includes four short double-helical elements and three loops (D, anti-codon, and T loops).
Source: RNAcentral